Molecule: ribosomal RNA, 255 nt
Filed under: uncultured bacterium
Lineage: Bacteria
Description: partial 16S ribosomal RNA
Rfam family: Bacterial small subunit ribosomal RNA
Source: RNAcentral
CUGGGCGUAAGCGUGCGCAGGCGGUUAUGUAAGACAGAUGUGAAAUCCCCGGGCUCAACCUGGGAACUGCAUUUGUGACUGCAUGGCUAGAGUACGGUAGAGGGGGAUGGAAUUCCGCGUGUANCAGUGAAAUGCGUUAGAUAUGCGGAGGAACACCGAUGGCGAAGGCAAUCCCCUGGACCUGUACUGACGCUCAUGCACGAAAGCGUGGGGAGCAAACAUGGAUUAGAUACCNUGGUAGUCCACGCCCUAAAC